RNAcentral lists this ribosomal RNA (707 nucleotides) under uncultured beta proteobacterium. Its description in RNAcentral is "bacterial SSU rRNA". It matches the Rfam family "Bacterial small subunit ribosomal RNA", at positions 53 to 753 of the family's 1533-position model. Lineage: Bacteria; Pseudomonadati; Pseudomonadota; Betaproteobacteria. The record is from RNAcentral.
ACAUGCAAGUCGAACGGCAGCACGGGUGCUUGCACCUGGUGGCGAGUGGCGAACGGGUGAGUAAUACAUCGGAACAUGUCCUGUAGUGGGGGAUAGCCCGGCGAAAGCCGGAUUAAUACCGCAUACGAUCUACGGGUGAAAGCGGGGGACCUUCGGGCCUCGCGCUAUAGGGUUGGCCGAUGGCUGAUUAGCUAGUUGGUGGGGUAAAGGCCUACCAAGGCGACGAUCAGUAGCUGGUCUGAGAGGACGACCAGCCACACUGGGACUGAGACACGGCCCAGACUCCUACGGGAGGCAGCAGUGGGGAAUUUUGGACAAUGGGCGAAAGCCUGAUCCAGCAAUGCCGCGUGUGUGAAGAAGGCCUUCGGGUUGUAAAGCACUUUUGUCCGGAAAGAAAUCCUUGGUUCUAAUAUAGCCGGGGGAUGACGGUACCGGAAGAAUAAGCACCGGCUAACUACGUGCCAGCAGCCGCGGUAAUACGUAGGGUGCGAGCGUUAAUCGGAAUUACUGGGCGUAAAGCGUGCGCAGGCGGUUUGCUAAGACCGAUGUGAAAUCCCCGGGCUCAACCUGGGAACUGCAUUGGUGACUGGCAGGCUAGAGUAUGGCAGAGGGGGGUAGAAUUCCACGUGUAGCAGUGAAAUGCGUAGAGAUGUGGAGGAAUACCGAUGGCGAAGGCAGCCCCCUGGGCCAAUACUGACGCUCAUGCA